This 661-nucleotide small RNA is filed under the name Pan troglodytes (chimpanzee). RNAcentral describes it as "retained intron". The record is from RNAcentral. Lineage: Eukaryota; Metazoa; Chordata; Mammalia; Primates; Hominidae.
GUAAGGAUGCAUCUUGGUCUUAUAACUUUGGUUAAUUCAAUGAUUUGGUUAUUAAGUUGAUUUUUAAGGAGUAAUCACUAUUUAGAUGGCUGACUUUAGAUCAUGUUGGUGUUUGUCUUAGUACAUUUAAAAUGAGUAGUCAAAAAUAGUUACUAUCAGAUUUUGUAAUCUUGACAACAACAAAUGUAAUCACCAUUAUCCAUUGUAAUAUUAUGAAUCUGAAACCAGCUCCUGUACCUAGCUCCUGGAAGGUGAGAAGAGGCCCAGAAGUGGCAGGGCAGGCAGAAAAUUAUGCAUGAUGCCAUUGGAUUCAGAAGUACAUUAACUGGCAAGAACUACACAAUGGAAUGGUAUGAACUUUUCCAACUUGGCAACUGUACAUUUCCCCAUCUCCGACCUGAAAUGGAUGCCCCUUUCUGGUGUAAUCAAGGCGCUGCCUGCUUUUUUGAGGGAAUCGAUGAUGUUCACUGGAAGGAAAAUGGGACAUUAGUUCAAGUAGCAACUAUAUCAGGUAAGUUUUGAAAAUAUAGUAAUAUUUGAUCAUUGCAUCAAAAACCAAAUGAAAGAAAUUGUUAUACUUCCAUUGAAACAUUUCAGUAAUGUUUUACUUAGAGGUCAUUUGUAAAAUGUACUUUUGGAACCAUUAAACUUUGGGAAUUUU